UUGUCGUUCAGUUGUAGUUUUAAAAUUUGUUGUGCAUACAUACUUGUAAUAAUCCGUUCAGUAAUCUGGUUCCAAAGUUUGUCGAUUUCAGAUGUUCAGCAGCAGAAAUUGAGCAGUCCGGGUAGCACAAUCGAGUAGAGAGCGAUCAUGAAGGCAAGCAUCCAAAGUAAAUUGGCACUCGAGGAGACUCGCCAAGCUGUCAAGAGAAAGGGAGGAAGAACAAGGAAGAAAGCUGAAAAAGAAGGUCAAAAGUGAUCCAGUGUUUGAAAGAGUUGCAAGUCUGAGAAGGUGAUUGCUGACUCCUGGAAAUGUUCCGUUUUUACACAAAGUGACGAAUGCACCUAGUUUACGCGCAUGAUCUGCACACUCUGAUAAGAUGUAAUCAAGGAGUUAACUACUAACUUGCAAGGACCUCCUGCACCCGGUCCUGGCGCUGCUGCCGUUGCUGCUGCUGCUGCUGCUGCUGCUGUUGCUGCUGUUGCUGCUGUUGCUGCUGUUGCUGCUGUUGCUGCUGUUGCUGUUGCUGCAGUUGCUGUUGAGACACAACUACAUUCAAAUUUCUCACGUUUACCUCACGAAUUGACGACCAGAGAGCGCUGCUGGGAAUUACCGUUCUCGUAUCUCUGACACGAGGCUUGGCCGCGCUCAUUCCCAGACGGUCUCCAUCUAAGUGCUAACUACGCUCGACGCUGCUUAACCUUGGUGAUCGUCUAAGAGACAGAGCCACUACUCCAUCUGCGCAUGCGAUCAAAAUAGACGUAUUUUCGCCAUUUCAGGGCCACUAGAAUCAUUUUGACAGAAAGUGAUGGUUUUGUGUUGAAUUGAAUCUACACUUAAUUUUUGCAUUUUAUUUUUAAUCACUUAAAAUGUACGUGAAGUUUCACAAAUUAUGUUUCCUGAAAGAUGAGACUAAGAAACACAAAAUGCAAAACCAAAAAUUGUAAUUAAAGAUGUAAAAAAAAGAUGAAAUGAUGAAAAAUUAGCAAUCAACUUAUAAGAAAUUGAAAAUAAUCAUGAAA
Molecule: long non-coding RNA, 1019 nt
Filed under: Bemisia tabaci
Lineage: Eukaryota; Metazoa; Arthropoda; Insecta; Hemiptera; Aleyrodidae
Description: lncRNA ENSSSA2NGG010421
Source: RNAcentral